This 210-nucleotide ribosomal RNA is filed under the name Chaetomium sp. Its description in RNAcentral is "partial large subunit ribosomal RNA". The record is from RNAcentral. Lineage: Eukaryota; Fungi; Ascomycota; Sordariomycetes; Sordariales; Chaetomiaceae.
AAGCGCUUGUGACCAGACUUGCGCCCGGCUGAUCAUCCGGUGUUCUCACCGGUGCACUCUGCCGGGCUCAGGCCAGCAUCGGUUCUCGCGGGGGGAUAAAGGUCCUGGGAACGUAGCUCCUCCGGGAGUGUUAUAGCCCACCGUGUAAUACCCUGGGGGGGACUGAGGUUCGCGCAUCUGCAAGGAUGCUGGCGUAAUGGUCAUCAACGA